Molecule: ribosomal RNA, 492 nt
Filed under: uncultured bacterium
Lineage: Bacteria
Description: bacterial SSU rRNA
Rfam family: Bacterial small subunit ribosomal RNA
Source: RNAcentral
GAACGCUAGCGGCAGGCUUAACACAUGCAAGUCGAGGGGCAGCAUGACACGGAGAUUCGUCGAAGUGUUGAUGGCGACCGGCGCGAAGGGUGCGUAACGCGUGAGCAACUUCGCCCGUUUCUGGGGAAUAACCGGUGGAAACGCCGACUAAUACCCCAUAGUAUAACGAAGAGGCAUCUUUUUGUUAUUAAAGAAUUUCGGAAACGGAUAGGCUCGCGUGACAUUAGCUAGAUGGCGGGGUAACGGCCCACCAUGGCGACGAUGUCUAGGGGUUCUGAGAGGAAGGUCCCCCACACUGGUACUGAGACACGGACCAAACUCCUACGGGAGGCAGCAGUGAGGAAUAUUGGUCAAUGGACGCAAGUCUGAACCAGCCAUGCCGCGUGCAGGAUGACGGCUCUAUGAGUUGUAAACUGCUUUUGUAUGAGGGUAAACCUAGAUACGUGUAUCUAGCUGAAAGUAUCAUACGAAUAAGGAUCGGCUAACUCCGUG